Molecule: transfer RNA, 80 nt
Organism: Geosporobacter ferrireducens
Lineage: Bacteria; Bacillati; Bacillota; Clostridia; Peptostreptococcales; Thermotaleaceae
Rfam family: tRNA
About the family: Transfer RNA (tRNA) molecules are approximately 80 nucleotides in length. Their secondary structure includes four short double-helical elements and three loops (D, anti-codon, and T loops).
Source: Rfam
GCGGGCAUGGCGGAAUUGGCAGACGCACUAGAUUCAGGUUCUAGCGGGAAACCGUGGGGGUUCGAAUCCCUUUGCCCGCA